This 1205-nucleotide long non-coding RNA is filed under the name Equus caballus (horse). RNAcentral describes it as "lncRNA (ENSECAG00000045769.1)". Lineage: Eukaryota; Metazoa; Chordata; Mammalia; Perissodactyla; Equidae. The record is from RNAcentral.
AGAAUUUUAAUUAAAUGUGGAGGCAGAGACCCAGUUUUGGCUAAACAUUGAUUGACUAUUGACUCCAUCUUGAGCAAGGCCACAGUGCUCAGUCUUUGUGAUCAGGAUGUCCGUUCUCCUGCUGACACGUAAAACAAUUGCCAUUUUGCUCCAGUCCAAAUAUUUGACCCAGUCCAAGGUUCAGGACAGCAAAGCAGUUUCUCUGGAAAGGCUCCUCUAUAGUCACUUUUGACAGCACGCUGGGCCUUGGGAUUUUCUGUCACCCUCACCAUCACAGUGGUGUUGGUGAUGGAGAAGGGGGUAGGGAGCUCUCACCAGAAUCUGUCAACCAGGGUUCUUUACUUGUCUACCAUGUAUCUCUGAAAUGAAAUUGGAGUUGUAGGCAGCUGUCUAGCUGCUCACUCCUGCCAACCGCUGAUCCUCUUCUGCCCCGCCUCCCUUUUUACUUUCAUCCUGAGUCCACACUAGAUGCUCACAGCCGAUGGCUCUGCCGAAAGGGCACUCUUGCAUUUAUUCAUUCAGCAAAUGUCCGUCCAAUGCCCACCGAGCCAGGCCCUGGCUCCGUCCUAGGACUGCAGAGCCGAGUCAAGCAGCGUCCCUGCCUGGAGGAGCCACAGCAGAGCAGAGGAUUCACCCCGCAAAGUCAACAACUCCGGGCUGAGCAGAGGUUACACACCAUCGGCCUUCAUCACACUUCGCUCGGCACACACAAGGCUUCAUUGUCAAUGUUUUGAUUUUCCUUUAAAAUUACUUGACAAAUUUAUAAGUGGGACUUUUCACCUAAAAAUUUAGAUUUCCUGGACCUUCACGAGGUCCGGCAGCUCCUGGUCCACUUUCACGCGCUCCCGCCUUCUCUUGAGGCUGACUGCCGGCUGUCCUUUCAAGUUAGGACCACUCCCACUCCCCACAGCCUCCACCACUCCCUAGUGUCCCCAACCCAAGGCCCACGUGAGUUGCCACAAGCCACCCUCCUGGUGCUGCUCUUGUUCUCGGGCCCAGCCAGCUUCACCAGUUUCCUCCAGGCGCCUUAAUCCUGCACGCUUGCCUCUGAGUUCCUUGGUCCACAGUGAAACGCGCUUCGAUAGAGGCAGCAGAGGGCGCUGUGGGAGCACCCAGGAGAGGCGCCCCAGGCAUCUGCCAGGACUGCCUAAAACCACAGAGAUCUCCUAACAGCCUGAGGAGGGGGCACUCAGGAUCAGCUGCUU